UUUGAAUCAAGACUUAUA
This 18-nucleotide small nuclear RNA is filed under the name Arabidopsis thaliana (thale cress). RNAcentral's name for it is "snRNA_04336". The record is from RNAcentral. Lineage: Eukaryota; Viridiplantae; Streptophyta; Magnoliopsida; Brassicales; Brassicaceae.